This 251-nucleotide ribosomal RNA is filed under the name uncultured prokaryote. RNAcentral's name for it is "partial 16S ribosomal RNA". It matches the Rfam family "Bacterial small subunit ribosomal RNA", at positions 525 to 775 of the family's 1533-position model. The record is from RNAcentral.
ACGUAGGGUGCGAGCGUUAAUCGGAAUUACUGGGCGUAAAGCGUGCGCAGGCGGUUAUUUAAGACAGAUGUGAAAUCCCCGGGCUCAACCUUGGAACUGCAUUAGUGACUGCAUAGCUGGAGUACGGCAGAGGGGGAUGGAAUUCCUCGUGUAGCAGUGAAAUGCGUAGAUAUGCGGAGGAACACCGAUGGCGAAGGCAAUCCACUGGGCCUGUACUGACGCUCAUGCACGAAAGCGUGGGGAGCAAACAG